Photinus pyralis (common eastern firefly) is the source of this 888-nucleotide long non-coding RNA. RefSeq lists it as uncharacterized. The transcript has 3 exons. The record is from RefSeq and is a predicted model, not a curated record. NCBI's taxonomy places the organism in Eukaryota, Metazoa, Arthropoda, Insecta, Coleoptera, Lampyridae.
UUACUUGCGUCAAUUUGCCAUUAAUCUCCUUUAUUCACACAAAAUAGUCUUUAUAAAGACUCGUCGGUUUAUUCUAAAGAUAGUCAGGGUUAUAUUAUUCGCGAUCAAGAAAAGUUGUACGCAAACAUGAAUGUCGCCGGUGCUGCUUUCUCUCCACCGAAAAAAACGUUCUGCCAAGCACUUUUCAGUUGAAGACAAAACUGGCAUUUUAAAUAUCUUCAAGGCAUAUUCGUAAGACAACCCGGAGGUAUCUAAAACGGAUAAAGUUGAGUUUACGGCUAAAGCAGCAGGUAAUUUUCAUCUUAGGCACAUUCAUUUUUACUUAUUAUUGUGUAAUUUAGGUGUAAGCAUUCCGAGUGUCUACAAGAUUCUUCGGGAGUAUACAAAGGUACACGAACUUCAUUCACCUAAAAAAUAUUAUCGACCACGAGCAAUUUUGGACAAUAUUGAUUCCGGAACUAAAAGUAUUCUUCGACGUUUGCUUCAUUCUUUCUUUGAAAGAAAUGAACCACCUACCCUGAGUAAAGUUUUGGCAGUGUUACACGAAGACGAAGACUUACCCCAUUUGAAACGAACUACUUUAUGGAAAUUAAUAAAAGAAAUAGGUUUUCGCUUCGAAAAGAGGUCACGCAGUAGUGUUCUUAGGGAAAAGGACGAAAUAAUUACUUGGAGGCGUCGGUUCUUGCGUGAAAUUAGAAAAUAUCGUGAAGAAGGUAGGAAGUUGUAUUUCCUAGAUGAAACUUGGGUAAAUGCUGGGCAUACUGUAAGCAAAGUAUGGAAGGACACCACAAUCUCACUCCAAGACAGGCAUUUAUCAACGGGCUAUCAACUGGAUUGAAAGAUCCAUCGGGCAAAGGAAAUCGCCUUAUUGUUCUCCAUAUAGGGUCC